Molecule: long non-coding RNA, 1055 nt
Organism: Haliotis rufescens (red abalone)
Lineage: Eukaryota; Metazoa; Mollusca; Gastropoda; Lepetellida; Haliotidae
Exons: 3
Source: RefSeq, a predicted model, not a curated record
UUCUGAUCAUGAUAGUACUCAGGUUAUUAGUUAUAGUUACAGCCUGGCGAAUUGCGUUGACUCCUAAUGGAUCCUGAAGUCUACGUUGUGGAUUUAACUUGCGUCCGUAUUGCAAAGACAUUGAUUAUAUUGAAAGUGUGUUUCCUUAUGUUUAAUACAAAAAUGGAUCAUAUUUAUCUUGAUAACCUAACUGAUACUAUAACAGUCGAAGGAGGGACUUAUGAAACCAGCUUCAUGGGACAAGGAAUUAAUGUAAAUGAGGAAAAUUUGCAAUCAGUUGUUACUGAUUAUUACGAUGUCUUAAAAGAAGACAAAAAAUAUGUUACUCCUAUUGGUAGUGACUAUUCCAAGUUUACAAUAGAUAGUAAAAGAAUAAUGCGACUGCGUGGCUCUCCAGAUAUUGAUUUUAUGAAUUCUCAUACUCGGUAACCCCUAGUGUUGUCUACAGUAGCUGGGCGCCAUGGUUGCAUCAACAUUAUUUGUAAUGAAUUGGGUCUUGUAGACUAUGACAACUCACAAGCAAAUCUUUCUGCAAAGACUACUAAGGUUCUUCAGACAGUGCGGACUGAACAGUGGCUGCCAUAGAUAAAGAUAAUUUUGAAGACAUACCACAACAUGCAAAGAUAUAUUCAGACGGUCUCGGAUAAAUCUUGUCAACCUAUGAUAAUUCUACAUUACAGGCAUCCUUGGAAUACAGUAUUAGAGAAUAACGAAGCCUUGACAAGGUCCUGGUACGCAUCACCACAUCUCCAAUCUUGGAGGCACAGAAGGUUCUCAUAAACUCAGUAUCGAGGGCAAUGUGUACAAGAGGAAAGAAGUUAUAUUCACAGAACCUAAUGUUGCAGUUAAUGGGGAAUGUUUGUCACGAGGACUCAGGAUCCUGGACAAUGCUCCAUCCUGUAGGUCUCUUCGUGGAUCCCUGUGUUGAUGAGGCGGAUCUGGCACUGAUGGUUCAGGGUGUAAAGGUACAGAGACUGUUGAUGCAGUAGGACAGCUCCUCCCAUGGUCUGGAGUGUCUGCAUGUCAAGUGCUGCCAUGUCACUGUAUUCACUGUA